UAUAUAUAUAUCAAUUUUUACCUUCGGACCAUUCCGGAGCUCCUUGUGACGUCCGGGAUCUCAUCCGGUACUCCGAAGAACUCUCGAUUACCAAUACCUAUAACUCAACUAUACCGAAAUGUCAUCGAACCUUAAGUGUGCAGACCAUGCGGGUUCGAGAACUAUGUAGACAUGACCUGAGACACAGUCCGAUCAAUAUCCAAUAGCGAGACCUGGAUGCCCAUAUUGGAUCCUACAUAUUCUAGAUAAUAUUAUCGGUUGAACCUCUAUGUCAAGGAUUCAUAAAAUCCCAUAUACCAUUCCCUUUGUCCUUCGGUAUGUUAUUUUCCCGAGAUUCGAUCGUCGGUAUCUCAAUAUCUAUUUCAAUCUGUUACCGGCAAGUCUCUUUACUCGUUUCGUAAUACAAGAUCCCCUGGCUAACUCUUUAGUCACAUUGCUUGCAAGGCUUGUUUGUCAUGUUGUAUUACCGAGUGGACCCCGUGAUACCUCUCCGUCACAGGGAGUGACAAAUCCCAGUCUUGAUCCAUGCUAACUCAACCGAACACCUUCAGAGAUACGUAUAGAGCACCUUUAUAGUCACCCAGUUACGUUACGACGUUUGAUACACACAAGGCAUUCCUCCGGUGUCAGUGAGUUACAUGAUCUCACGGUCAUAAGAAUGUAUACUUGACAUACAGAAAACAAUAGCAACAAAAUGACACGAUCACAUGCUACGUUUAUAGUUUGGUCUUGUCCAUCACAUCAUUCUCCUAAUGAUGUGAUCCCGUUAUCAAGUGACAACAUUUGUCUAUGGCCAGGUGUCGGGGGGAUAACCUCGGGGUAGGCU
Molecule: long non-coding RNA, 826 nt
Filed under: Hordeum vulgare
Lineage: Eukaryota; Viridiplantae; Streptophyta; Magnoliopsida; Poales; Poaceae
Description: long non-coding RNA (HVUL_LNC011561)
Source: RNAcentral